Molecule: long non-coding RNA, 293 nt
Filed under: Vigna radiata
Lineage: Eukaryota; Viridiplantae; Streptophyta; Magnoliopsida; Fabales; Fabaceae
Description: long non-coding RNA (VRAD_LNC008831)
Source: RNAcentral
GGGUUUCUUUAUAAAAGUGAAAUGGGGUGGAGGGGUGCAAAGGUGAAGGGGUGUAGAGUUGCAAGAAUGCAUAUUUAGGGAUUGGAGGAAAAUGGAAAUAGAGUCAAUGGUGGAUACAAAAUUUUCAAUAAUAAAAAAAAUUAAACUUUAAAAGCUCUUAUUAAUUAGGAACAUUUUAAGAAAUUUGAGGUACAGAGUGAAAUACUUAGAGGUGCAGAGUGAAACACCUAUAUCCUUGUUCAAGAUGUUAACACCAAAUACUAGGGCUUUGGCAGUAUGACUAUAUACCCCGG